This 119-nucleotide ribosomal RNA is filed under the name Bos taurus (domestic cattle). The record is from RNAcentral. Lineage: Eukaryota; Metazoa; Chordata; Mammalia; Artiodactyla; Bovidae.
CGCUCCGGCCCUAUCAGCCUGAAGGCGCCCGAUCUCGUCUGAUCUCGGAAGCUAAGCAGGGUCGGGCCUGGUUAGGAUCUUGGAUGGAGACCACCUGGGAAUCCCGGGUGCUCGAGCUU